This 292-nucleotide ribosomal RNA is filed under the name uncultured bacterium. Its description in RNAcentral is "partial 16S ribosomal RNA". It matches the Rfam family "Bacterial small subunit ribosomal RNA", at positions 505 to 796 of the family's 1533-position model. The record is from RNAcentral.
GUGUCAGCAGCCGCGGUAAGACGAACCGUGCGAACGUUGUUCGGAAUCACUGGGCUUAAAGGGCGCGUAGGCGGCCGCUCAAGUCAGGGGUGAAAUCGUCCGGCUCAACCGGACAAGUGCCCCCGAUACUGAGCGGCUCGAGGGAGGUAGGGGCGGAUGGAACUUCCGGUGGAGCGGUGAAAUGCGUUGAUAUCGGAAGGAACGCCGGUGGCGAAAGCGAUCCGCUGGACCUCUACUGACGCUGAGGCGCGAAAGCCAGGGGAGCAAACGGGAUUAGAUACCCUUGUAGUCC